Molecule: ribosomal RNA, 685 nt
Filed under: uncultured bacterium
Lineage: Bacteria
Description: bacterial SSU rRNA
Rfam family: Bacterial small subunit ribosomal RNA
Source: RNAcentral
AGAGUUUGAUCCUGGCUCAGGAUGAACGCUAGCGGCAGGCUUAACACAUGCAAGUCGAGGGGUAUAGUUCUUCGGAACUAGAGACCGGCGCACGGGUGCGUAACGCGUAUGCAAUCUACCUUUUGCAGAGGGAUAGCCCAGAGAAAUUUGGAUUAAUACCUCAUAGUAUGUGAGAAUGGCAUCAUUUUCGCAUUAAAGUCACAACGGCAAAAGAUGAGCAUGCGUCCCAUUAGCUAGUUGGUAAGGUAACGGCUUACCAAGGCAACGAUGGGUAGGGGUCCUGAGAGGGAGAUCCCCCACACUGGUACUGAGACACGGACCAGACUCCUACGGGAGGCAGCAGUGAGGAAUAUUGGACAAUGGGCGCAAGCCUGAUCCAGCCAUGCCGCGUGCAGGAUGACGGUCCUAUGGAUUGUAAACUGCUUUUGUACAGGAAGAAACACUGGUUCGUGAACCAGCUUGACGGUACUGUAAGAAUAAGGAUCGGCUAACUCCGUGCCAGCAGCCGCGGUAAUACGGAGGAUCUAAGCGUUAUCCGGAAUCAUUGGGUUUAAAGGGUCCGUAGGCGGUUUAGUAAGUCAGUGGUGAAAGCCCAUCGCUCAACGGUGGAACGGCCAUUGAUACUGCUAGACUUGAAUUAUUAGGAAGUAACUAGAAUAUGUAGUGUAGCGGUGAAAUGCGUAGA